CGGACCAUUUAAAAUUAAUUACGAUUUUCGAUUCAUUCAAUUAUAUUUCAUUAAAAAUACCCCUCUAGAAAAUUCUUUGGAGACGCCUAUUUAAUCGCCUAGGUGCCUAUUUUCGCAGCGAAGCAAGAGGAAAGCACCGCGCAUGUUUCUAUCGGAUCGAUACGAAUCGAUUUCCGAUAACAUUGAACAGCAGUUGGUCAGGAAACGGCUCGAAGGGCGGAUGGCGCGCCGCUAGUAAGGUUAUUCCCACUUUUAAGUGACGGGAUUGAAACAAAUUUUCGAUGGAAAUCAAAUGAUUAGAAGGAAAUCAAGCGUCAGCUAAUCCCAUCUACAAAACUAGAUAACCAAAGUUAAACAUCUCUUUGGACUUCUUCACAUAACAGAAGUGGAUAUUCCGGCGUGCCUGCCUUGUUUCAAUCCCGUAACUUAGUUAUUUAGUCACACAACGUGACUCUAUCACGUUGAUUAUGUACUACCUAGUUAGAUUGCUAGCCACUCUGUGAUGGUUUAUCCCUAGAGUGGGCUGUUUUUGUUGGAUAAUACACCAUACCGGAUUUUAUUACAACCAGCAUCUUCACCCAGGACCUUGCAGUAGGACUUACUCAUCACAGCAGCCAACCAUUUUAUCGUGCCAAAAGGGAAUUUCCUACGGAAUUCAUCUCUAUGGACUUGCAACCCUACUUUUAACCGGCUGUUGUGUAAAAGCUAAGUUUAUUUACUUUUUCUGUAUUUACUUUUGGGUAAGAUAUAUUUGCUACAUUGUAAACUUUUCGUAUGCAUACGAUUAGGAAGAGUACAUAUAUUUUCGUGAUAGAUAG
Diabrotica virgifera virgifera (western corn rootworm) is the source of this 818-nucleotide long non-coding RNA. RefSeq lists it as uncharacterized. Lineage: Eukaryota; Metazoa; Arthropoda; Insecta; Coleoptera; Chrysomelidae. The transcript is spliced from 2 exons. The record is from RefSeq and is a predicted model, not a curated record.